GUGCUUGCUUGGACAGCACAUAUACUAAAAUUAGAACCAUGCAGAAGAGAUUAGCAUGGCCCCUGCACAUGCAUGACAUGCAAAUUUGUGAAGCAUUAAAAACUUCC
Perognathus longimembris pacificus (Pacific pocket mouse) is the source of this 107-nucleotide small nuclear RNA. NCBI's taxonomy places the organism in Eukaryota, Metazoa, Chordata, Mammalia, Rodentia, Heteromyidae. The record is from RefSeq and is a predicted model, not a curated record.